This 253-nucleotide ribosomal RNA is filed under the name uncultured bacterium. Its description in RNAcentral is "partial 16S ribosomal RNA". It matches the Rfam family "Bacterial small subunit ribosomal RNA", at positions 524 to 776 of the family's 1533-position model. The record is from RNAcentral.
UACGUAGGGUGCAAGCGUUGUCCGGAAUCAUUGGGCGUAAAGCGCGCGUAGGUGGCUUCGUAAGUCCGUUGUGAAAGUCAAAGGCUCAACCUUUGAAUGCCGAUGGAUACUGCGAAGCUAGAGUACGGAAGAGGCGAGUGGAAUUCCUGGUGUAGCGGUGAAAUGCGCAGAUAUCAGGAGGAACACCGGUGGCGAAGGCGGUUCUCUGGGCAUGUCCUGACGCUGAGGAGCGAAAGUGUGGGGAGCGAACAGG